This 428-nucleotide ribosomal RNA is filed under the name uncultured bacterium. RNAcentral describes it as "bacterial SSU rRNA". It matches the Rfam family "Bacterial small subunit ribosomal RNA", at positions 355 to 774 of the family's 1533-position model. The record is from RNAcentral.
UGGGGAAUCUUGCGCAAUGGGGGAAACCCUGACGCAGCGACGCCGUGUGAGGGAAGAAGGCUUUCGGGUCGUAAACCUCUGUCAGGAAGGAAGAACCUCUCAAGGCUGAACAAGCCUUGGGACUGACGGUACUUCCAGAGGAAGCACCGGCUAACUCCGUGCCAGCAGCCGCGGUAAUACGGAGGGUGCAAGCGUUAAUCGGAAUCACUGGGCGUAAAGCGCGCGUAGGCCGUCUUUUAAGUCGGACGUGAAAGCCCUCGGCUCAACCGGGGAACUGCGUUCGAUACUGGGAGACUUGAGUCCUGGAGAGGGUGGCGGAAUUCCUGGUGUAGGAGUGAAAUCCGUAGAUAUCCGGAGGAACACCGGUGGCGAAGGCGGCCACCUGGACAGGUACUGACGCUGAGACGCGAAAGCGUGGGGAGCAAACA